This 301-nucleotide ribosomal RNA is filed under the name uncultured bacterium. RNAcentral's name for it is "partial 16S ribosomal RNA". It matches the Rfam family "Bacterial small subunit ribosomal RNA", at positions 509 to 809 of the family's 1533-position model. The record is from RNAcentral.
CAGCCGCCGCGGUAAUACGUAGGGUGCGAGCGUUAAUCGGAAUUACUGGGCGUAAAGCGUGCGCAGGCGGUUCGUUAAGACAGAUGUGAAAUCCCCGGGCUUAACCUGGGAACUGCAUUUGAGACUGGCGAGCUAGAGUAUGGCAGAGGGGGGUAGAAUUCCACGUGUAGCAGUGAAAUGCGUAGAGAUGUGGAGGAAUACCGAUGGCGAAGGCAGCCCCCUGGGCCAAUACUGACGCUCAUGCACGAAAGCGUGGGGAGCAAACAGGAUUAGAUACCCCAGUAGUCCCUGUCUCUUAUAA